UUGAGAGACGGGAGAGGGCGUGUCCUGGGACUGUGUGGGGGAGGGGCUUUGGAGGUGAGCUUGACCCCAGUCGUUAUGAAUGAGGAACUUGAGUACGUCCAGGUGUCCUCGGAGAGCUGCGUGCACCAGCGCACACUGACCAUGCUUGUCCAAGUGGUCCAGCUAUGGAGAAGACAGAAAGACAUACAGAGUGAGGUGACGAUGCUGAGAUGUCCGGCGGCAGCGGCGUAGCCCAGCGGAGUGAGUCCGCUCUCAGAUGCCGAAUCCACACCGGCUCCGUUCUCCAGCAGCAGGUUCACCAUGUCUGCGUAACCCAGAUGAGCGUGAACACACAGCACCGGAGCGUUGUUCAGCACCUCCGUGCGGUAGUUAACAUUCGCACCGCCGAGGAUCAGCAGCCGGGACACCUGAACACAAUCGCACACAUUAUGUUAACUUAAAGGGACAGUUCACCCAAAAAUGAAGAUAUUUUGAAGAAUGCUGGUUGCUGCAAACAAUGGAUAAUUUUGACAAGAAACUUUUAAUGGCCAUGAGAAUCUUAAGUCCUUUUAAACAGCAUUAUUAAUAGAUUGAUAAUUAUAUUAUUAUUAAACCUCAAAUCGACUACCCCUAUUGACUUCCAUUAUAACGACAUCUUCUGAUUGCAAAGUCUUGACAGCAUAUAAUCAUGCAUUUUUAAUUAUUGGUGGUUUCUCUGUUGGGAAGAGGUAAAGUUUUACAAUUUUUACUGUUGAUCAUCAGUUGGCAGCAUUAACUCUUUAGACAGACCUGUGCAAAAACGUUUCUGGCUUUCAUAUGGAGU
Danio aesculapii is the source of this 802-nucleotide long non-coding RNA. RefSeq lists it as uncharacterized. The transcript has 2 exons. The record is from RefSeq and is a predicted model, not a curated record. NCBI's taxonomy places the organism in Eukaryota, Metazoa, Chordata, Actinopteri, Cypriniformes, Danionidae.